RNAcentral lists this ribosomal RNA (497 nucleotides) under uncultured bacterium. RNAcentral's name for it is "partial 16S ribosomal RNA". It matches the Rfam family "Bacterial small subunit ribosomal RNA", at positions 28 to 507 of the family's 1533-position model. The record is from RNAcentral.
GAUGAACGCUGGCGGCGUGCCUAAUACAUGCAAGUCGAGCGAACAGACGAGGAGCUUGCUCCUCUGACGUUAGCGGCGGACGGGUGAGUAACACGUGGAUAACCUACCUAUAAGACUGGGAUAACUUCGGGAGGCCGGAGCUAAUACCGGAUAAUAUAUUGAACCGCAUGGUUCAAUAGUGAAAGACGGUUUUGCUGUCACUUAUAGAUGGAUCCGCGCCGCAUUAGCUAGUUGGUAAGGUAACGGCUUACCAAGGCGACGAUGCGUAGCCGACCUGAGAGGGUGAUCGGCCACACUGGAACUGAGACACGGUCCAGACUCCUACGGGAGGCAGCAGUAGGGAAUCUUCCGCAAUGGGCGAAAGCCUGACGGAGCAACGCCGCGUGAGUGAUGAAGGUCUUCGGAUCGUAAAACUCUGUUAUUAGGGAAGAACAAAUGUGUAAGUAACUAUGCACGUCUUGACGGUACCUAAUCAGAAAGCCACGGCUAACUACGUG